Molecule: transfer RNA, 75 nt
Filed under: Salmonella enterica subsp. enterica serovar Cerro str. FSL R8-0235
Lineage: Bacteria; Pseudomonadati; Pseudomonadota; Gammaproteobacteria; Enterobacterales; Enterobacteriaceae
Description: Salmonella enterica subsp. enterica serovar Cerro FSL R8-0235 tRNA-Ala
Rfam family: tRNA
About the family: Transfer RNA (tRNA) molecules are approximately 80 nucleotides in length. Their secondary structure includes four short double-helical elements and three loops (D, anti-codon, and T loops). Further hydrogen bonds mediate the characteristic L-shaped molecular structure. tRNAs have two regions of fundamental functional importance: the anti-codon, which is responsible for specific mRNA codon recognition, and the 3' end, to which the tRNAs corresponding amino acid is attached (by aminoacyl-tRNA synthetases). tRNAs cope with the degeneracy of the genetic code in two manners: having more than one tRNA (with a specific anti-codon) for a particular amino acid; and 'wobble' base-pairing, i.e. permitting non-standard base-pairing at the 3rd anti-codon position.
Source: RNAcentral
GGGGCUAUAGCUGAGAGGGAGAGCGCUUGCAUGGCAUGCAAGAGGUCAGCGGUUCGAUCCCGCUUAGCUCCACCA